GGGCCGUUAGCUCAGUUGGUUAGAGCAGGGAACUCAUAAUUCUCCAGUCGCGGGUUCAAGUCCCGCACGGCCUA
Molecule: transfer RNA, 74 nt
Filed under: Nocardioides albus
Lineage: Bacteria; Bacillati; Actinomycetota; Actinomycetes; Propionibacteriales; Nocardioidaceae
Also listed under: 6 other names
Description: tRNA-Ile
Rfam family: tRNA
About the family: Transfer RNA (tRNA) molecules are approximately 80 nucleotides in length. Their secondary structure includes four short double-helical elements and three loops (D, anti-codon, and T loops). Further hydrogen bonds mediate the characteristic L-shaped molecular structure. tRNAs have two regions of fundamental functional importance: the anti-codon, which is responsible for specific mRNA codon recognition, and the 3' end, to which the tRNAs corresponding amino acid is attached (by aminoacyl-tRNA synthetases). tRNAs cope with the degeneracy of the genetic code in two manners: having more than one tRNA (with a specific anti-codon) for a particular amino acid; and 'wobble' base-pairing, i.e. permitting non-standard base-pairing at the 3rd anti-codon position.
Source: RNAcentral